GAUUAGGCGUACUGACAGAACGGGUGACAAAAGUAGUGGACGUUUCCGCGUGUAUGCACUUCAGCCGCGGUGUAGCUCGAUUCCUGCGACAACGGCAAGCUGCUCGGUAUCACACUUCUGCAGGGUAAAUGGGCGUCGUCAUCAUCGCGCGCUAUAUACUACGUGUACACCCAGUUAACACUCCUUUCACACACACCUGCUCAAGAACGUGAGGACGUAUGUAGUAUACCGGCCAGCUGGUGAAACGGAAAAACUCGAGUGCAUCCGGGGCAGCGCCGAGCGCUUCAGCACAUAUGUCACCGCAAACAGCGUUUUUGAUGGCCUCCCACAGCUGGUGGGGGCACGCUGGAACAGCUGUUACAAGGGAUACAGAGAGCGAAAGGCGAAAUAAGCGCGGUUGCUCACUGAUGGAAUCGUAAAAAAAAAAAAAAAAUCUCUUUGGGUUUAGUGGAAGCAGCACGUUCCGGCGAGCGGCUCCGGUUGGGUUAUCAAGUUUUCAUACUGACGAAUUUAACAAUGCAUCGGAACCUCACGAAAUGCAUGAAAAGCAAGUGCUGGAAGCGUAGUAUCACGGAAAGACCGGGAAGGAAAAGAUCGGGAGUGUGUGGACCCGAUGCUGCUCCAUCGAAAUAAGGCAAGGCUGCCGUGAAGAGAAAGGUAAAUCACAGAGGAAGCGAAGGAAAUCGGAAGGUGUCUGGCGUGUAUUAAAAGAAAAUGUGCAAAACAGGGAGGAGGCCACGACGAAGCGAAGGUUGGGACCUCAAGCUGCAGUGUGUCAUCAGCGAUCGCUUCCAGAACAAUCCACGAGGUAGCGACUGGACACCGCCGCUUCGGGCAACCUGUCAGCUGGUCACCCUCGAAUCUCCCGGUGGCGAUGAGCAGUCCUUUUCCCACGAGGCCGUCCUUUCCAGGCGGGACUCUUAUGACUGGCGCCGAACAUUUCCAAACCUUUAUUUGUAACAUGCCAUUCACCCAACGCUGUACAGCGUUCGCUGUCCUUGGUGCGGGGGCCGGCCAACUCUCGCGCACAUUACGUGGUAUUGCCAGAACAGGCCACCCAAAAUUAUUACACCAAAAAUAGCCGGCAAACUUUCCGGAAGGGAGCAGUGGGAGACUUGGCUCGCCAGCGAGGAUCAGGAGAUGCAACUAGCGCUCCUCGACCAGGCACGGCGGACCGCUCAAGCCAGUGGGGCCCUGGAGUAGGGGCUCCACCCACUCGCUUUCUGCACUUUUUUUUUUAAAUAAGCAUUUUGAUAUAUAUUUCAUCAGCGCGCGCCCAGGAGGCGACGAGCACCGACAUAAUCAAAGGGGCUCGGCACAAUCAAAGGAGCUCACAUCCGGGCGACAAGUGCCGCCCUCCGUGGAGGAGGUGACCACCGCGAAGAUCGCUCUACCUGACCCUGACAAGCUGGCCUAACUGGUGAAAGGGGCCAACGUCGAAGGCUACCGUGGUAACAGCGUCGACCUCGGAUUCCUAGAUUGCUACACGCUCGCACCACAUGCGGGGGCGAAGGUGCAACUUAGGAGACGGAGUCCGGCGGAGCGGUGUGACAUCGUGGGAGGGAUUUUGCGACCGAUGCGACGAUCGUGAUUGGCCGAGAUAUAGUCAUCAGAUUCCCUAGUCUAGUCUCCUAGAGAAGACGACUGGUUCAAAAUCGGUGACUUUUGGUGCAGUGAGAAAGUGUGCUGACUUGUCCUAAUGUGAGCUCAGACAUAUGAUGUCCUCCUACAUGGAGUGGGCUUCCGUAUCUGGAACCAGUGCAAAUAAUGUAAAA
Long non-coding RNA from Dermacentor albipictus, 1775 nucleotides. RefSeq lists it as uncharacterized. The record is from RefSeq and is a predicted model, not a curated record. NCBI's taxonomy places the organism in Eukaryota, Metazoa, Arthropoda, Arachnida, Ixodida, Ixodidae.